Humulus lupulus (European hop) is the source of this 295-nucleotide long non-coding RNA. RefSeq lists it as uncharacterized. The record is from RefSeq and is a predicted model, not a curated record. The transcript has 3 exons. Lineage: Eukaryota; Viridiplantae; Streptophyta; Magnoliopsida; Rosales; Cannabaceae.
ACUGCAGAGGACUUAAACUUACGAAUAGAUAUUUAUGAUGAAAUUGGGAUUGGAGGAGGUGCUUUUGGAAUUUCUGGAGGACUACUUCAUCCUUAUUCCCCUAAAGCUAAGCUUCUAUGGAGGGGUGCUGAGUGUUGGAAUGAGUGUUUAAAGCUUUUGGGCGUUGCUGAAGCAACAGAAGCAUCAAUGGAUUCUGACCAGUUAAGCUCUGGAAUUUCAGAUUUUGAUACUCACUUUCAAGGCCUCAUAGUUUAGAAAAGACAACAUUUGAGGAUGUUUUCCCUGCGGAGGCAAC